This 735-nucleotide long non-coding RNA is filed under the name Homo sapiens (human). RNAcentral's name for it is "HSALNT0397595". Lineage: Eukaryota; Metazoa; Chordata; Mammalia; Primates; Hominidae. The record is from RNAcentral.
AAAGUGCUCAGCCCCCGGGGCACAGCAGGACGUUUGGGGGCCUUCUUUCAGCAGGGGACAGCCCGAUUGGGGACAAUGGCGUCUCUUGGCCACAUCUUGGUUUUCUGUGUGGGUCUCCUCACCAUGGCCAAGGCAGAAAGUCCAAAGGAACACGACCCGUUCACUUACGACUACCAGUCCCUGCAGAUCGGAGGCCUCGUCAUCGCCGGGAUCCUCUUCAUCCUGGGCAUCCUCAUCGUGCUGAGCAGAAGAUGCCGGUGCAAGUUCAACCAGCAGCAGAGGACUGGGGAACCCGAUGAAGAGGAGGGAACUUUCCGCAGCUCCAUCCGCCGUCUGUCCACCCGCAGGCGGUAGAAACACCUGGAGCGAUGGAAUCCGGCCAGGACUCCCCUGGCACCUGACAUCUCCCACGCUCCACCUGCGCGCCCACCGCCCCCUCCGCCGCCCCUUCCCCAGCCCUGCCCCCGCAGACUCCCCCUGCCGCCAAGACUUCCAAUAAAACCUCCCCCCCACAUCGGUCCGUCCUGCUUCCAGCUGCUGCAGCGCGCCUUCGCCGCCAAAGCAUCCAGCAGCCCCCUGCUCCGGCCCAGCAUGGCGACCCCGACCCAGACCCCCACAAAGGCUCCUGAGGAACCUGACCCAUUUUACUAUGACUACAACACGGUGCAGACUGUGGGCAUGACUCUGGCAACCAUCUUGUUCCUGCUGGGUAUCCUCAUCGUCAUCAGUAAGUGC